AAUUUUGUUGAAUGUUAGAAUACAAGUCAAAAUUUGGAGAAAACUAUCUUCAAAUCAAUUUGCUGCAAAAUCGCGCACUUCUUUCAAAUUUAGGUAUCUGUACAGAGUUACAUCCUCCAUUGCCGGUAGAAGAGUAAUUAGCAACGAGGAAUACGUCACUGUUUCGAAAAAAGGUUCACUUAGAGAUAUUCCUACUGUAGUUUCACCCAAUCUCCAUUUAAGGAAUUUAUCCAACUUCAAAGUAAAAAUGUUCCCGAUCCAUAGACUUAAAGCAAAAAAUUGAGGAAGUCGGGGAUUGGUGACACUUUUUUCCAAUGAAACGAUGAAGAUGAUGGGCCGGGAAGAAGAAGUGAGGCUUUACGUGUCGUAGGUGGGCCCAGACCUAACCCAGACUGUGCCAAGAGCGCUCGGAUGGCUUCCUAUAUGCAGGCAGCUUGUUCACUUGCCGUAAAGCAAAAUGGUGCAAAUUGCGACCACCUAUGCACGCACUGCCGUCCCUGUUUCUCCGAUUCCAGCCUGUACCCGCGUCUCUCUUCCUGUCAGCAAGCUCCUUACAGCCUGUCGUCCAAGAAGAUGACUCUGUUCUGGUUAAACUUACUGAAAAAGCGCUGAUGAUGGAUCAUGGAGAAAUGGACAGAUUUCGCAUAAAUAAAGGAGAGAAAAGAAAAAUUGAAAGAAUAUGCAUCUGUAGAAUGUCCGGGGAAGAGGGAAAACUAAGAUUUAUCAACAGAAAUAACAUUUGUAUUUUUGAUUAACGACAAAUGGCAUCUCUGACGCAGGAUUACAGAAACUCGAUCCCGUUCUUCAAUGUUUUUUUUUUUCCUUUUUAUUUUUUUUUUGAGAGAGAGAAACUCCGCCGUGAGCGCUCCCCGAAGUGCGACGACCUUCGCGUUGCGAGGAACUAGGAUAAACCAGUGGUCUGCGUGUCUCUUUGGACGUAGAGUAAGCUAAUCCGACUGCGUAUCAUGUUUGCAGCCCCUUUAAACGAUACUGAUACGCCUUAGUCGCGAAAGUCGCAUGUUCCGAGCUCCAGGCAGUUUUUACAUCUCUUUACUUAGGAAUUCUGAUUGCACAAGUUCAUCAAUAUAUUUGAUACUUU
Molecule: long non-coding RNA, 1099 nt
Organism: Eufriesea mexicana
Lineage: Eukaryota; Metazoa; Arthropoda; Insecta; Hymenoptera; Apidae
Exons: 4
Source: RefSeq, a predicted model, not a curated record